RNAcentral lists this long non-coding RNA (209 nucleotides) under Trifolium pratense (red clover). Its description in RNAcentral is "long non-coding RNA (TPRA_LNC001573)". The record is from RNAcentral. Lineage: Eukaryota; Viridiplantae; Streptophyta; Magnoliopsida; Fabales; Fabaceae.
UUUGCUUGUUGCAGGUUUUUUGCUGCAAUUUGUUUCUCUUUGUUUGGAGUAGAUAAUGCAAUUGUUCAAUUAUUUUAUAUAAUAUUUUUACUUAUCUUUGAUUUUUUAAUUGUUUUCCUUAUGUAGUUGUAAUGGAUGAUGAACACAUUUUUUAUUUUCUUCUUCUGUGGAGGAUGUAUAUCUAUAUUUUGUCCAUGUAUGCUGCUGGU